GAUGAACGCUGGCGGCGUGCCUAAUACAUGCGAGUCGAGCGAACAGACGAGGAGCUUGCUCCUCUGACGUUAGCGGCGGACGGGUGAGUAACACGUGGAUAACCUACCUAUAAGACUGGGAUAACUUCGGGAAACCGGAGCUAAUACCGGAUAAUAUAUUGAACCGCAUGGUUCAAUAGUGAAAGACGGUUUUGCUGUCACUUAUAGAUGGAUCCGCGCCGCAUUAGCUAGUUGGUAAGGUAACGGCUUACCAAGGCGACGAUGCGUAGCCGACCUGAGAGGGUGAUCGGCCACCCUGGAACUGAGACACGGUCCAGACUCCUACGGGAGGCAGCAGUAGGGAAUCUUCCGCAAUGGGCGAAAGCCUGACGGAGCAACGCCGCGUGAGUGAUGAAGGUCUUCGGAUCGUAAAACUCUGUUAUUAGGGAAGAACAAAUGUGUAAGUAACUAUGCACGUCUUGACGGUACCUAAUCAGAAAGCCACGGCUAACUACGUG
Molecule: ribosomal RNA, 497 nt
Filed under: uncultured bacterium
Lineage: Bacteria
Description: partial 16S ribosomal RNA
Rfam family: Bacterial small subunit ribosomal RNA
Source: RNAcentral